Molecule: ribosomal RNA, 465 nt
Filed under: uncultured bacterium
Lineage: Bacteria
Description: partial 16S ribosomal RNA
Rfam family: Bacterial small subunit ribosomal RNA
Source: RNAcentral
GACGAACGCUGGCGGCGUGCUUAACACAUGCAAGUCGAACGGAAAGGCCCUGCUUGCAGGGUACUCGAGGGGCGAACGGGUGAGGAACACGUGGGGGAUCGGCCCUGCACUUCGGGAUAAGCCUGGGAAACUGGGUCUAAUACCGGAUAGGAGCCAGCCGGAGUGGGAUGGGUGGAAAGUUUUUUCGGUGUAGGAUGAGCACGCGGCCUAUCGGCUUGUUGGUGGGGUCAUGGCCUACCAAGGCGGCGACUGGUAGCCGGUCUGCCCGGGUGGACGGCCAGAUUAGGACUGGGAGACGGAACGGACUCCUACGGGGGGUAGCAGUGGGGAAUCUUGCCCAAUGGGCGCGAGCCCGAUGCAGCGACGCCGCGUGGGGGAUGACGGCCUUCGGGUUGUAAACUCCUUUCGCUAGGGACGAAGCUUUUUGUGACGGUACCUAGAUAAGAAGCACCGGCUAACUACGUG